UCCGAGUUGACCCCGGCAGUCUCCUAUGAGUCCCCGGCAUAACCCGCUGGCAACAUAGGACGAGGGUUGCGCUCGUUGCGGGACUUAACCCAACAUCUCACGACACGAGCUGACGACAACCAUGCACCACCUGUGAUCGUGCCCCGAAGGGAGAGUGUGUUUCCACACCUGUCACCAACAUGUCAAGCCCAGGUAAGGUUCUUCGCGUUGCAUCGAAUUAAUCCGCAUGCUCCGCCGCUUGUGCGGGCCCCCGUCAAUUCCUUUGAGUUUUAGCCUUGCGGCCGUACUCCCUAGGCGGGGCACUUAAUGCGUUAGCUACGGCGCGGAAAACGUGGAAUGUCCCCCACACCUAGUGCCCAACGUUUACGGCGUGGACUAC
Molecule: unclassified non-coding RNA, 379 nt
Filed under: uncultured Actinomycetes bacterium
Lineage: Bacteria; Bacillati; Actinomycetota; Actinomycetes
Description: uncultured actinobacterium contains 16S-23S intergenic spacer region
Source: RNAcentral